GGCUUGAAGCGGGGGUGCCGUGCGCGAUGGCGGCUGAGAAACACCCUUCGAACCUGGUUCGGUUAGUACCGAUGUAGGGAGCUUCGCCGCACGGUCA
This 97-nucleotide non-coding RNA is filed under the name Rhodanobacter spathiphylli. RNAcentral describes it as "Rhodanobacter sp. TPP sequence". It matches the Rfam family "TPP riboswitch aptamer (THI element)". Rfam says of the family: Vitamin B(1) in its active form thiamin pyrophosphate (TPP) is an essential coenzyme that is synthesised by coupling of pyrimidine and thiazole moieties in bacteria. The previously detected thiamin-regulatory element, thi box was extended, resulting in a new, highly conserved RNA secondary structure, the THI element, which is widely distributed in eubacteria and also occurs in some archaea. The record is from RNAcentral. Lineage: Bacteria; Pseudomonadati; Pseudomonadota; Gammaproteobacteria; Lysobacterales; Rhodanobacteraceae.